GUAUGCGGAGAGAAAAAGGCCCGAGUUUUCUUCUGUGUUCUAGAAGCAUACAUCGACUACGCUUCGUUCCAUUUUCGGUUUUGUUCUCGGAUACAGACGCGGCGUGAAAUGGAGUUAUCAAGCGUAUCGAUCAAGCUCUCAGAUAUAAAGGUCGCUGGGUAGCAGAGAGAAGGGGAGAGAUCCAAGAUUUUCGUCCAAGCUUCGGGUCGUUGGGGUGGCAAAAAGAAGGGGAGGGAUCGAAGAUUGUGGUCGACUUCUGGAGGAAGGUUGAAAAAGAGUGGGGGCGUUUCUCAGUUCGUGUAUAGUGUGUGCUUAAUCUAGAAGUUGUACAUAUUGAAGGAGCGGGGAUUUGCUUAAGAAUCAUAAGCAGUUGUGUCUUUGAAGGGCUGGUUGGAUAUCUCUGCGAGGUAGGCUUGGGUUCGUUUUGGAAGAGGUGUGUGCUGAGAUUGUGAUCGAGUUUAGGAGACGGGCUUUGGGAGCAAAAGAGGGUGCAGUGGAGAAACUUCGCCAAUGCUGCCUUGAAGAAAUUUGAGAUUACAAGCAUGGUGGAAAAGACCACUAAAGGUAGGAGAAUGAUGGAGGAAUUAUAAAGAUACACUUUAAUUCAGUUAAGAAAAACAAAACCCCCGCAGCAUCGCGCGGGAAGGAUCAUCUAGUAACUAUACUAAAGUGCAAACGGAGUGACGACAAACGAAAUGAACAGUGGCAGCACCUUUUUGCCCUUCUUUGUUUAUAGGAAUUGCAUAGGCCACCUGUUGCUUUGCUGAGAUACCACCACUCCUUUAUGUAUCGCGUGCCUUCGUUUCAGCAGAAACAGAUGCUCUGAGAGAGAUAGAAAGGUGUUUGUUUGGGAACUUUGGGUUGUCUGCAUGAUCUGUAUCACCACAACGUUCACCACACGUAUCCAGCAAAAAAAGGAUUCCUUACACGUAUCACCACAACGUUCACCAGUGCUUACACGUAUCUGCAACACCUUCACCAGCUCUUACACGUAUAAUUCAAUCACUCUACACAUAUGACCUUUAACAAACGCUUCCAAAAUAAACCGCUCAAUUCAGCUCUCACCUGGAAACAUAGACGCGACGGAGCUCAUACCAAGAAAGAAUCUCUUCUUUCUUGCUUCUGGAGCCUUCUAAUUGGAGAGGACACAGGGAGAAAAUCAUCAAAGCCAAUAAAGGUAAUAAGGUAGCUGAUGCUUUGGCGAAUUAUGGUACGACUGCUCCUAAUAUGGUGUGGUGGGAUGCUCCACCAUCUUUUCUUUUAUCGCAUUGUCAGAGUGACCAAUUGAGUUUUCCCCAAUUUCGGUUACGAUAGCUUAUUUAUUUUCGUUGCUUUUGUAGGGAGGUUUGGUUUGGUCCCCCUCCUAUGUUCCUUUUUUUUCUUCUUACUCUUUUAUUAAAUUCAAAAAAAAAAAAAAAUUGCUCGAAUUGUAGAAGAAGAUGAGAAAAGAGCUCUAAUCAAAGAAUGAUUUAUUGAUUUAUUAGUAAAAAUAAUACUAAAGGAGUUUUAAUAAUUUGGCCACACAAAAAAAAAAAAGGAAAUAUUAAAUGUAUAGUUUAAUCUCAUUCGUUGGUAUUCUUUUAAUUUAAUGGUUCACAAUUGAAGUAAAAAACUGAGUAUAAAUUUUGGUGCCACGGAUCCACCCCCUACUUGGUAGAUCACAUGUAGAUUUCCUUUUCUUCUAAAAUUGGAUAAUUUUUCCUUUCAAAAAAAUUGGAUAAUUUUUUUUUUUUUAGGAAAUAUGUUAACUCUUUUAUAAUCAACAAAAUAACAUAUAAUAACUCGGAUAGUAGAGUUGCCAAUAAAUUCAUUACCUAAGCAAUUCAACAUUUUUAACAAACAAUAAAGCUUCUUCAAAACUAUCUUACACUACCUAUGUAGAUCAAAUGGCACAAGUACUGUAGAUAUUAUUAGUGACAUUUCUCAAACCUAAAGACCUACAAACUUCUCCCCGAAAGAGGAGGAAUCCUGACAAAAUAAAAACAAAAAUUAAGAAGGAAAAUUUGAGUUAGCAAUGGACCAAUAGAUCAGAAAAUUCCUGACUACAUUGGAUGAGCGUGACAAAAUUUGGCUCAUAUGUAAGAAGUGAUAACAAGUACUAAUUCUAUCCUUGUCGUCAUAAAGACGAGAGUGUUGUCCGAGUUGAUCACAGUUCCAUCAGAAUCACUCAAUAAUUGACUCAAAUUGUUGACUGUGAGCUAGACUUGAAGGAAUGAACUAUGCAGGUAUUGAAGGCUUUUUUUUGGUCAUGAUGCAGGUAUUGAAGGCUAGGGUUGAAGUACUGCCAUUUUGAUUGUGGGAUUGAACUAAUAGAAUUGGAAGAAUGGUUGGACUUCAAUCUUGGUUUUGUAGGGUUGCUUAAUGAUUAUGUUAAAACCCUGCUUCAAAUUCUAAUAACUUAAAUUUUGAAUGGUGUUCUUCUGGGUAGCAGUGACACUCACUAAUACUAUUUUCUCACUUCUGUUUGAAACUUUCCUCUAAUGGCAUAAUUGGUAAGUUUCAAACAGUCUUCCCGUAUAUGCCUAUGUUAGCCUAUGACGACCUCGGAAGAUAUGAUGCAAUACAAUAUCUGAUGCACAAUAUUAGACCUCUUUGCAUUAAAAUUCUCAGUUUACAGAACCUUGCAGAACAAGUUUCAAUUAUCACUAUAUACAAAACUUCAACAAAUUCUUGCCUUUUUCGUAGAAUUAGAUUCUUAUUAAGCACUUCAAUCAAUCUUCUAUUUUUGUAUCCGGUUCCGGUCUUCAUCUGUAAGACAUCAAUGGGUAAAGAACACAUUUUUAUGUCAUGUUUUAAAAGACUCAUACCGUACCAAUUCUUAUUAGGCACUUCAACCAAUCUUCUAUUUUUGUAUCUGGUUCCGAUCUUCAUCUGUAAGACAUCAAUGGGUAAAGAACACAUUUUUAUGUCAUGUUUUAAAAGAUUCACACCGUACCAAUUCUUAUUAGGCACUUCAACCAAUCUUCUAUUUUUGUAUCUGGUUCCGGUCUUCAUCUGUAAGACAUCAAUGGGUAAAGAACACAUUUUUAUGUCAUGUUUUAAAAGAUUCACACU
Long non-coding RNA from Rosa rugosa (rugosa rose), 3054 nucleotides. RefSeq lists it as uncharacterized. The transcript has 9 exons. The record is from RefSeq and is a predicted model, not a curated record. Lineage: Eukaryota; Viridiplantae; Streptophyta; Magnoliopsida; Rosales; Rosaceae.